This 494-nucleotide ribosomal RNA is filed under the name uncultured bacterium. Its description in RNAcentral is "partial 16S ribosomal RNA". It matches the Rfam family "Bacterial small subunit ribosomal RNA", at positions 28 to 507 of the family's 1533-position model. The record is from RNAcentral.
GACGAACGCUGGCGGCGUGCUUAACACAUGCAAGUCGAACGGAAAGGCCUGCUUUCCCUUGUGGAUUGCGGGUACUCGAGUGGCGAACGGGUGAGUAACACGUGAGUGAUCUGCCCCCAACUUGGGUAUAAGCCUGGGAAACUGGGUCUAAUUCCCGAUAGGACUGCAGGGUGGUGCCUGUGGUGGAAAACGAUUUUCUAGUGGUUGGGGAUGAGCGCGCGGCCUAUCAGCUUGUUGGUGGGGUAAUGGCCUACCAAGGCGGCGACGGGUAGCCGGCCUGAGAGGGUGGACGGCCACAUUGGGACUGAGAUACGGCCCAGACUCCUACGGGAGGCAGCAGUGGGGAAUAUUGCACGAUGGGCGGAAGCCUGAUGCAGCGACGCCGCGUGGGGGAUGACGGCCUUCGGGUUGUAAACUCCUUUCGGCCGCGAGGAAGCCACCUGGUUGGAAGGGUGGUGACGGUAGUGGUAGAAGAAGCACCGGCUAACUACGUG